This is a small nuclear RNA of Trichechus manatus latirostris (Florida manatee), 107 nucleotides long. NCBI's taxonomy places the organism in Eukaryota, Metazoa, Chordata, Mammalia, Sirenia, Trichechidae. The record is from RefSeq and is a predicted model, not a curated record.
GUGCUUGCUUCGGCAGCACAUAUACAAAAAUUGGAACGAUACAGCGAAGAUUAGCACGGCCCCUGCGCAAAGAUGACACGCAAAUUCAUGAAGCGUUCCAUAUUUUU